AUACGGGGGGGGCAAGCGUUGUCCGGAAUCAUUGGGCGUAAAGGGCGCGUAGGCGGAAUAGUAAGUCAGGGGUGAAAAUUCUGAGCUUAACUCAGUACCUGCCCUUGAUACUGCCAUUCUUGAGUGCGAGAGAGGAAAGUGGAAUUCCCGGUGUAGCGGUGAAAUGCGUAGAUAUCGGGAAGAACACCGGUAGCGAAGGCGGCUUUCUGGCUCGCAACUGACGCUGAGGCGCGAAAGCGUGGGGAGCAAACAGGAUUAGAAACCCCGGUAGUCC
Molecule: ribosomal RNA, 274 nt
Filed under: uncultured bacterium
Lineage: Bacteria
Description: partial 16S ribosomal RNA
Rfam family: Bacterial small subunit ribosomal RNA
Source: RNAcentral